GACGAACGCUGGCGGCGUGCUUAACACAUGCAAGUCGAACGGAAAGGCCCCUUUGGGGGUACUCGAGUGGCGAACGGGUGAGUAACACGUGAGUAACCUGCCCUUGACUUCGGGAUAACUUCAGGAAACUGGGGCUAAUACCGGAUAGGAAUCCUUGCUGCAUGGUGGGGGUUGGAAAGCUUCGGCGGUUUUGGAUGGACUCGCGGCUUAUCAGCUUGUUGGUGGGGUAGUGGCUUACCAAGGCUUUGACGGGUAGCCGGCCUGAGAGGGCGACCGGCCACAUUGGGACUGAGAUGCGGCCCAGACGCCGACGGGAGGCAGCAGUGGGGAAGAUUGCACAAUGGGCGGAAGCCGGAUGCAGCAACGCCGCGUGCGGGAUGACGGCCUUCGGGUUGUAAACCGCUUUCAGCAGGGGCGAAGCUUGUGGUGACGGUACCUGCAGAAGAAGCACCGGCUAACUACGUG
This 465-nucleotide ribosomal RNA is filed under the name uncultured bacterium. Its description in RNAcentral is "partial 16S ribosomal RNA". It matches the Rfam family "Bacterial small subunit ribosomal RNA", at positions 28 to 507 of the family's 1533-position model. The record is from RNAcentral.